AGGCAGAUAAGAAGCAACAGCAGCAGUGAAACAUUGCAUGCAUUGAAACCAAGAGCCAAAGAAGCCCAGCAGAGGAAAGGAGGAGAAGAACACAUCAAAGGCUGUAAGAUGCCAGUCAUCCAUUCAGCAUUCCUGGGAGCAGCACAGAGGUGGUUUUAUGUCACUGUGAUGGUGCCUUGUGGCUACAGAGUUGGAACCUUCAGGCUCAGCUUUGCAGGACUUCGCUGCUGCUUCCUCGGAGUGAAGAACAAGGUGUCACUAUUAUGAUGUGGUUGCUUCUACCACUGAUGGUCUGUUUUUCUCUACCUGGACACCCAGGAAAAGACAGCCCUGCUUCACUUCAGAUUUGGUGCAUAACCCACCAUCCAGAAUCCCUCCGGUGUCGGCUGAAAUGCUCGUGUUCGUAUUCCAAGGAAAACUGCUGCAGUUGUCUUCAGCUGUUGCCUCUGUUGGUGGUCCUUGUAGAGAAGCCAAGGGCUGGGGUGAUCUCAGGAGAAUGCUCAGGGGGAAUUCAGGGACGAGAAAUUUAAUGGCUGCAGUUUUAUAAUCUUUAUCAGACCAUCAAGGCUGGAAUCGAAAGGUAGGAGUUAUCAUCUCCAAGAGUUCUGUCAUCUCAGUCAACCUUCAAGAGAAAAUCAUUGCAAGACAGCCUCUGUGCCUGCAGAGAACUGGGUUGUGUGGCACAGCCAGGGAUGCAGUUGGCCAAGAGCCACCUCUGACAGCAGCCAAGAGAAACCAUUUUUGGGGAGCUGCUUGUUCAAGUAUGAGUGAGAAUGAGAAGCAACCAUUGAACAAGAGGCACAUUCCUCCAGACAUCUUCCAAAUGGCACAAGGGAGCUGCUGCUGCUGCUUCUGACCUACUGAACUACAUUCAAUCCAGAUGAGAAACAGGAGAACAUGGAGGUUUUGCAAUUUGAGCGGAGCCGUGCAGGAGCUCUUUGGCAGAAGAGGCGGCCUCCCGAGGGAGCUGAACAACAGCUGCACCAGGAGAAAACCCUGCACAGGAGACAAGAACUUCUGAAAUGCCAUCAGGGACUACCAGAAAGCAGCACAACAAACACCCCAAAACACAGGAAGGAGCUGCAGAAAGCCAGUGUGAGGAUCAAAAGAAUAACAUCCCAGGUAAUUGUUAAGCUAGUAAGGAACAUUCCUGACAUCCUUCAAAUCUUCAGCAACGAGCAUGGAAGAAGAGGAAAAGACAGCGACAAGACAUUACUUCCUACAUUAACUCAUGAUAAGAGAUGAAGCCACUUGCAGCAGCAGAGCUGGUGGGGCAGACGACGCCUGUCCUGGUGGAGCUCGGCCACCCGUGUGCCUUACAGCUGCUGAGGAGGUGAGCCAUCCAUGCACAAUGACAAGCCUACCUCAGUGUCCCCUGGCCAGCCCCACAGCUGCUGCAAACCUGGGUAACUGUUGAUCUAACCCACUUUUCCCUCGCUGAGGAGCUGGCCCUGCCCUUCGCUGUCCCUCAGCUGCCUGGUGCUCCCCACGAGUGCCUUGCAAACUUGCCUUUGCAGGAAAUGAGAGGCCCCAGUGUGGUCUAGCUCCCACCCUGCUCCCUGCAGGCAGGACCGUAUUCGUAUGAAGAGCCCACUCUUCUCAUCCACGUGGACAAAACUGAAUUUUGCCACACCACAGCUGAAGGGACUCGCCUGGGGAGCAGUAGAGGGGUUGGUGGAGAGCUGGGGUGGCACAGCGGCAUAGGGAGAGCCAGGAAUGUGGGAUCUGGGGAGGGAGGCAGUGGAAGAGCCAGCACUGUGGUCCCCCAGAGGGAGUUAGCCACCCAGGGAAGGAGAAAGAAGAUGAUUGCUGAUCAUCCUCGCCACUCCUGCAGCUGCCCCAUGCAAACAGUGGCCUCAAACAGCCUUUCCCUCUCCCCACCCUCAAAACGCAACCACUGCCCCAUCCCUCCCUCUCCCUGAGAGGAGAGCUGUCAGUUGUGGUCUCUGAGGGAAAGGCACUGCCCCAGCCAGCCUGGGAUAAAGCUACAGAGUGGAGAAUCAAAGCCCAGAUCCAGGCAGAUACUUUGUGGUAACCUAAGAUCCAAUGGAAAUCUGGGGAGCUUUUUCAAAGGAGCCAGAGAAUACUCCCAGGUAGGUGCUGUUGCUCCAUCCUGACCUGCUGACCCACGGGGGAGGCUGCUGCUGUGUUCACACACACACAGGUGGGCCAAACCAGCCGAAACAGGGUGGAAAUAGCCAAGCCACUGGUUCCCAGCGCUGGCUGCAAAGUCCUCACAUACAGCAGGUAGGACGGGACGUGCCAACAGCCCCAAGCCUGCGAGCACGGAGCAGCUCCACGGAGAGCUGAAGGACCACAAGACCAGGAGCUGACUCAGAGCACAACAAGGAGGCAUCUCCCCAGAGUGGGAUGAGAUGGGAGCAGUAGCUGAACUUCAUCACACAGCUUCUGAUUACAGCUGCAGCUCCAGGACCAGAGAGAGGUCAUGCUGUCUUGCUUUCUGCUGUUUUAAAAUCAGAAUGGAAAACCAUGGGACACUUUUGGGGCAGACUGUGAGUGUAAUACCAAUUGUCACAGGAAUUGGAGAUAGAGAGAGGGCCCUCAGGAUUUGGUCUUGUACCUUCUUUAAAAAAAAACCACCAAACCAAAAUCAUCAUGAAUGGGGCCAAGUGCCAAUAGCAGGAGAGAGUGAGAACUAUUUGGUGUUAGAUUUCUAACUGGAAAUCUGCAGCCUGCCAAGUCCUACUGUUUGCCUUCAUGUAGUAUGAGAGGUUGAGCUGAGACAAGGAGACAAGGGCCUUCCAGUAGACAUUGCACUGACACCUUGUGAGGGAUUGCCCUGCCUGGAGGAGUUCACCUUUUAAAUAAACAUGAGGCGCAAAUCGAGUGCUACAGCUCCAUCUUCCAGAUGGGAAGUGAAGGCAAGGAGCACCUCGUCCAGGUCACACAGGGCACCUGAAUUCAUUUCAGGGCUCCAGGUUGCCUUCAUCUGUAAAAGUCUUCCAAGGACUGGGAGUGAAAUCCAGGUUCUCUGAAGGCAAUGGGAUUUUUGCCCCAGAUUGCCAGGGGGGGAAAGCUUUUUCUCCAAGCACCUGCCCGGAGGUGUCCAGAGGCCUUUAGCAAUGGCAGUGAUUCUGGUAGCACCAACGGCGAUGGCCAACCCUGAAUGUCCCAGAGUGGCUUUUGGGGUGUCCAGCUCCUGGCUAGGAGAGGCCACUGGUCAAAAUGGGCCUUGUUAAACAGCCAAGCAGAAAACAAAUCUGCUCUCAAGGUGGCUCAAAGCUGGAGCUGACUGAACAUUUUCCUGUUGUAUAUAAAUAUCACAUAUGCACACAUGCAUAGUUGCUGAGGAAAACUUUAUAUAUAGGUAGUGUGUCUGUUUUAGAUAGAAAGAUGGAUACAUUUCAUGUGUAUUAACUCACAUAGCUAUAUAUUCCUAACAUCCAAAACAUUGUCUUUUCCUGGUUUUUCCAAACACUUCACCAGCUGAUUCACAGAUGCCAAAUGUUGACACAAUAUGUUAAAUAGAAAUGUUGACAGUUUCCCAUGGAGAGUUUUCUGCAGUCCUGGAGAAGCUCUACUCAACAUUUCUUUUGAGAUUUGAAGGAAUUUGAUUAACAUUUUGCUGUUGCCCAUUCCUGACUACUCUGAGUUGAGCUGGGACCGGAGGAGCACUUGAUGAGUAAGGCUCUUCUGUUAUUUACAGCCUCGUUGAAACGAUGAAGUAGCAGGAAUCUCCUUGGAGAGCAAUGGAUCACAGCACUUGUCAAGAUGAUUUCCAAAUCAAAGAUGAAUUCCAAGGAGCAGCAAGGGUAUAAUUUUAGAGCCCAUCGAGCCAAUGGCAAAAAUCCCAAUUUUUGCACAAUAUUCUUAAUGGAGUCUCUGAAAUUUUGGAGCUUCAUAUAUUAUAUAUUAUAUACUAUAUUAUAUUGUGGCUAAGAGGUCCUGUCCAAAUUCAGCAUCUGUGUGCCUUACAGAGGAAUGACCCUAAAAAGGAGUGAUGAAAAAGGUCAGUCUAGUUUAAAAACAAAUACCGUGUUUAUAACGAGACCGAAGGGACAAUGAAGAAUUCAGUACUCGAUACUGACACCUGCCACUUGCAAAAUAUCCCCACCACUAGGAACAAAUAUUUUGUGAGAGUUUGGAAAAUUCUGGUCACUCAUUUUUUCCUCUUUUGUUUCCAUUUCAGUCGCUGUGCAAUAACAGCACUGACGUUGCUAAAUGUCACGAAGUGAAGCUGAUGAAGUCGCUUCAUGUGCUUGUUCCAGUGUCCCUUUGGAGCUGGAGUUCCUGUGUGCACAGGCAUCAUCCAGGUUCAUCAGACAGCCAAAUCUUCAGCGUGGCAAAGUUGUUCCCAGUCAUUUCUCUGUUUAUUUUCAAUUUCCCAUCCUAUCGGCUCGAACUAAGGUGGGAGGAGGUAAAGCAACUAGAAGGGGCAGUUUUUAAGGUUUCAACUGAGUAGAAGAGCCGGGUUUUACAGAGCAGGGUUUUACAGCGCACGCCGGCCUGUUCAGUCAGCGCAGGGACGCAGGACGGGGAGGCAGGCACAGACAGAGAAACCCAAAGAGCAAAGUAUUUUGCAAAAGCUGUGUGGUUGGAAGGUCUUUGAACUGCUUAACACCAGGAAGAGAUGAAAAGCUCACAGGACAGGUUGUUCUCUGGAGGCUCUCAGCCCAGUCUGCAGGAGCUGAGGCAGUUUGGGUGCAUUUGGGAGGUGGACUGAGGGAGGAAACAUUCAGGUACUUUUCAACUAUGCAACCAAACCAUUUGUCACUUGUCUAGACGCGUGUUUCAGAAGGGAAUAAAAUAAAAGAAAGAAAAAUACCAUGUCUGGGAAUUCUUCCCUGGUGACUGUUGUGCAGCCGAAGAACUGGGUAAUUCCCUUCAACUGAAUAAACAUCGGAGGGAGUCUGAGAGCAAUUUGGCUCCAGAGCAAAUAUUGUUACCAAAUUCUUUGCACCUGCAGUGGUCAGGGAAAUGAUAAUACACCCUCUCCAUGUCCUCCUACCCCCCUUCCACUUUGGGAAGGAGCCCUGUAGCAUCUCAGCUCUGCUACAGCACAAACAUUUGUGUGGGCAGAGCCUCAGGUGAGACCCCGCUGGUACAGCCACGGCCCCGUCCCACCAAACCCACUCUGCUCCCCAAGGAAAGGGAGGGGUUGGUGUCAGACUCACAGGGAGGAGCUGCCUGUCACUGGUGGCCUCCUUGGACAGGGAUUCCAGGACAAAGCAAAUGGAAAGAAGCCAUGAGAUGUGGAUAAUGGUCUCCGCUGUUCCCAGCUCAGGCACAGGAACACAGCAGUAGCUGACGCCCCUGUGAGCCCAUCAGCAUCGGGGCUGCUCAGCUAACAGAGCCUCAAGACAGAUAAAAAAAUAGGGGGGAAAUUGUAAUAUUUGUAAUAUUUUAAAAUGUUUCUGCUGUAAAAGUAUUUUUUCAUGGGAAGUAUCUUGGGCAGAAAUGUAAUUGCCUUAUGAAGAGUUCUUGCAUCACACGGAAUGUAAUUCUGUCCUGAAUCACAAGUUACUGGGCUUAUGCUACUACCUGAAGAUAUUUGACUGUAUUUCCCUUAAUUUUUAGUAAACUUGGUAAAUUUAGUAAAA
Molecule: long non-coding RNA, 5561 nt
Organism: Pipra filicauda (Wire-tailed manakin)
Lineage: Eukaryota; Metazoa; Chordata; Aves; Passeriformes; Pipridae
Exons: 17
Source: RefSeq, a predicted model, not a curated record